This 344-nucleotide ribosomal RNA is filed under the name uncultured bacterium. Its description in RNAcentral is "bacterial SSU rRNA". It matches the Rfam family "Bacterial small subunit ribosomal RNA", at positions 1 to 353 of the family's 1533-position model. The record is from RNAcentral.
UAGAGUUUGAUCAUGGCUCAGGAUGAACGCUAGCGGCAGGCUUAACACAUGCAAGUCGAGGGGUAUUGGUUCUUCGGAACCGAGAGACCGGCAAACGGGUGCGGAACACGUACACAACCUACCUUUAUCAGGGGAAUAGCCCAGAGAAAUUUGGAUUAAUGCCCCAUAGUAUUAUUGAAUGGCAUCAUUUGGUAAUUAAAGAACUUCGGAUAGAGAUGGGUGUGCGUAAGAUUAGCUAGUUGGUAAGGUAACGGCUUACCAAGGCGACGAUCUUUAGCUGAUGUGAGAGCAUGAUCAGCCACACGGGCACUGAGACACGGGCCCGACUCCUACGGGACGCAGCA